ACGAACGCUGGCGGCGUGCUUAACAUAUGCAAGUCGAACGGAAAGGCCCUGCUUUUGUGGGGUGCUCGAGUGGCGAACGGGUGAGUAACACGUGAGUAACCUGCCCUUGACUUUGGGAUAACUUCAGGAAACUGGGGCUAAUACCGGAUAGGAGCUCCUGCUGCAUGGUGGGGGUUGGAAAGUUUGGGCGGUUGGGGAUGGACUCGCGGCUUAUCAGCUUGUUGGUGGGGUAGUGGAUUACCAAGGCUUUGACGGGUAGCCGGCCUGAGAGGGUGACCGGCCAAAGUGGGACUGAGAUACGGCCCAGAGUACUACGGGAGGCAGCAGUGGGGAAUACUGCACAAUGGGCGGAAGCCGGAUGCAGCAACGCCGCGUGCGGGAUUACGGCCUUCGGUUGGUAAACCGCUUUCGCAUGUGACGAAGCGUGAGUGACGGUAAUAGGUAAAGAAGCACCGGCUAACUACGUG
Molecule: ribosomal RNA, 467 nt
Filed under: uncultured bacterium
Lineage: Bacteria
Description: partial 16S ribosomal RNA
Rfam family: Bacterial small subunit ribosomal RNA
Source: RNAcentral